CUUUAUUUUUACCAUUAGAUUGGAAUCCACUGGAUACCAAUUAUACUGAUGCUAAUUUGACGGUCAGGAACAAUACUGCACCUCUGCAAUCACUACUUCCACUAAGCUCGCUUCCUUGCAGGAUUUAGGAUUCUGUCGAAGGCUCGAAGCUCGCUUCUCUUAUGAGAGAUGGAACCGUGAAUCGAGAGAAUGGAGAAGAGUUCAACAUCAAUGAGGAAAGAAAGGCCUACUGGAGGAAGAAGAUGUCGAAGCUGAAAACGAUGAAACUGAUGAAACGCUAUCAUUCGGUGAAGAUAGACAGGAGUUGUUGCCUUUCCUAAACCUCAGGAGAUAUAAAGAGAUGCAAUUUUGUCAUCUGGUUUGCUGAAAACGCUCCAUUCCCCAACUUGCUUGGUUGUUCAGAUCAAGGAUUAGAUUUCUAGAUGCUACACCAUCUCCGUGUGGAUUACUUAUUCUUGCAAAUGAUCAAUUCAAUUGCAUGGCUAAUUCCUGAGUAAUAUUUCAGCCAAAAAGAAAAGAGAGGCUUUUCCUUGUUGAUAUGUGAAACUGCUUGAGACCUGGGUUUAGUGAAAUGGGAUGACACAAAAUUGGGGGCACUACAUGAGGCUAUUAAUCCUUGAGUAGUCUAUUAUAGUAGGCGAUUAUGUAUUUUCCUUAUUUCUUUUUAAUUCUUUCACAAGUGUUAUGUGUUGUCGUUCCCUCUAUAAAAGAAAUAAAUUACCAUAACACCACUAAGAGUGGCAUGUUAGAAUGA
Non-coding RNA from Nelumbo nucifera (sacred lotus), 754 nucleotides. NCBI's taxonomy places the organism in Eukaryota, Viridiplantae, Streptophyta, Magnoliopsida, Proteales, Nelumbonaceae. The record is from RefSeq and is a predicted model, not a curated record.